This 282-nucleotide long non-coding RNA is filed under the name Gallus gallus (chicken). Lineage: Eukaryota; Metazoa; Chordata; Aves; Galliformes; Phasianidae. The record is from RNAcentral.
CGCCGCACCCUGAGCUGCUGUGGCGUUACCGAAACGCGGUCUGACUGCCACAGCCACCUCGAGGCGCGGCACGGGCUUCCCCAGCCCACCUCAGCUCAGCAGUCCGUUGAGACCCUGACAAAAGAGGCUGUAGAGAGAUGGAGAUGCGAGAUAAACCCAUCGGGCAAUCUCAUUACGUGGCAACGAGCGAAGAGCCCUCCUCGCAAUCGACUCGAGAUAACGAGGCUGCCUGGAGGAACGAGCGAAGCCCGGAUAUUUACUUCUUUUCCUAUUAAAUAAACC